RNAcentral lists this ribosomal RNA (460 nucleotides) under uncultured bacterium. RNAcentral's name for it is "partial 16S ribosomal RNA". It matches the Rfam family "Bacterial small subunit ribosomal RNA", at positions 338 to 795 of the family's 1533-position model. The record is from RNAcentral.
CCUACGGGAGGCAGCAGUGAGGAAUAUUGGUCAAUGGGCGAGAGCCGGAACCAGCCAAGUCGCGUGAAGGAUGAAGGAGCUAUGGUUUGUAAACUUCUUUUAUAUGGGAAUAAAGUGAGGAACGUGUUCCUUUUUGUAUGUACCAUAUGAAUAAGCAUCGGCUAACUCCGUGCCAGCAGCCGCGGUAAUACGGAGGAUGCGAGCGUUAUCCGGAUUUAUUGGGUUUAAAGGGUGCGUAGGUGGUUAAUUAAGUCAGCGGUGAAAGUUUGUGGCUCAACCAUAAAAUUGCCGUUGAAACUGGUUGGCUUGAGUCUAUUUGAGGUAGGCGGAAGUCGUGGUGUAGCGGUGAAAUGCGUAGAUAUCACGCAGAACUCCGAUUGCGAAGGCAGCUUACUGGACUAUAACUGACACUGAGGCACGAAAGCGUGGGGAUCAAACAGGAUUAGAUACCCGAGUAGUC